RNAcentral lists this ribosomal RNA (497 nucleotides) under uncultured bacterium. RNAcentral's name for it is "partial 16S ribosomal RNA". It matches the Rfam family "Bacterial small subunit ribosomal RNA", at positions 28 to 507 of the family's 1533-position model. The record is from RNAcentral.
GAUGAACGCUGGCGGCGUGCCUAAUACAUGCAAGUCGAGCGAACAGAUGAGGAGCUUGCUCCUCUGACUUUAGCGGCGGACGGGUGAGUAACACGUGGAUAACCUACCUAUAAGACUGGGAUAACUUCGGGAAACCGGAGCUAAUACCGGAUAAUAUAUUGAACCACAUGGUUCAAUAGUGAAAUACGGUUUUGCUGUCACUUAUAGAUGGAUCCGCGCCGCAUUAGCUAGUUGGUAAGGUAACGGCUUACCAAGGCAACGAUGCGUAGCCGACCUGAGAGGGUGAUCGGCCACACUGGAACUGAGACACGGUCCAGACUCCUACGGGAGGCAGCAGUAGGGAAUCUUCCGCAAUGGGCGAAAGCCUGACGGAGCAACGCCGCGUGAGUGAUGAAGGUCUUCGGAUCGUAAAACUCUGUUAUUAGGGAAGAACAAAUGUGUAAGUAACUAUGCACGUCUUGACGGUACCUAAUCAGAAAGCCACGGCUAACUACGUG